UUACUAGCUACAGAAUCAUCUCAGGCUCUGUCUGAUCUUUUCGUGAGCCAUGGUAACUGAAUGAAUCAUAUGGUGACUGCUGAUGAUAGCCCAUUCAAGUUUCUGACCUAUCAGCUUCUGACGGUAUGGUAUUGGCCUACCGUGGCAGUGACGGGUAACGGAGGAUUAGGGUUUGAUUCCGGAGAGGGAGCCCUAGAAAUGGCUACCACAUCUAUGGAAGGCAGCAGGCGCGCAAAUUACCCAAUCCUGACACAGUGAGGUAGUGACAAGAAAUAACAAUACAGGGCAUCCAUGUCUUGUAAUUGGAAUGGGUGGAACGUAAAUGCAUGCAUGAGUAUCAAUUGGAGGGCAAGUCUGGUGCCAGCAGCCGCGGUAAUUCCAGCUCCAAUAGCAUAUAUUAAAGUUGUUGCGGUUAAAAAGCUCGUAGUUGGACUUCUGCCAAGGACGACCGGUCUGCCCGCUGGGUGAGUAACUGGCUUGGCCUCGGCAUCUUCAUGGGGGAUGUGGCUGCACUUGGCUGUGUGGUGCUGUGCCCAUGACAUUUACUUUGAGGAAAUUAGGGUGUUUCAAGCAAGC
Molecule: ribosomal RNA, 576 nt
Filed under: uncultured eukaryote
Lineage: Eukaryota
Description: SSU rRNA
Rfam family: Eukaryotic small subunit ribosomal RNA
Source: RNAcentral